GACUUUAUGAUUAUCCUAACCCUUUGGCAAAAUCCAAAAGUCAUUUCUCUUAGUAAUAAUUAAGAAAAAUAAAAGAUUUUUAAUUUUCUUUAAAAUUCUUACUCAUAAGAUUUAAUUGAAUUAAACACUUAAAUAGUUUUUAUUUAGUUUUUAUGCUAUUUUUUAGUAUUUUUCAUCAUUAUUUUCAUUUAUUUUUUAUUCUUUAAAUAAACCUUCAUUUAG
Molecule: long non-coding RNA, 222 nt
Filed under: Durio zibethinus
Lineage: Eukaryota; Viridiplantae; Streptophyta; Magnoliopsida; Malvales; Malvaceae
Description: long non-coding RNA (DZIB_LNC000568)
Source: RNAcentral